Molecule: ribosomal RNA, 1346 nt
Filed under: uncultured bacterium
Lineage: Bacteria
Description: partial 16S ribosomal RNA
Rfam family: Bacterial small subunit ribosomal RNA
Source: RNAcentral
GACGAACGCUGGCGGCGUGCUUAACACAUGCAAGUCGAACGGAAAGGCCCUGCUUUUGUGGGGUGCUCGAGUGGCGAACGGGUGAGUAACACGUGAGUAACCUGCCCUUGACUUUGGGAUAACUUCAGGAAACUGGGGCUAAUACCGGAUAGGAGCUCCUGCUGCAUGGUGGGGGUUGGAAAGUUUCGGCGGUUGGGGAUGGACUCGCGGCUUAUCAGUUUGUUGGUGGGGUAGUGGCUUACCAAGGCUUUGACGGGUAGCCGGCCUGAGAGGGUGACCGGCCACAUUGGGACUGAGAUACGGCCCAGACUCCUACGGGAGGCAGCAGUGGGGAAUAUUGCACAAUGGGCGGAAGCCUGAUGCAGCAACGCCGCGUGCGGGAUGACGGCCUUCGGGUUGUAAACCGCUUUCGCCUGUGACGAAGCGUGAGUGACGGUAAUGGGUAAAGAAGCACCGGCUAACUACGUGCCAGCAGCCGCGGUGAUACGUAGGGUGCGAGCGUUGUCCGGAUUUAUUGGGCGUAAAGGGCUCGUAGGUGAUUGAUCGCGUCGGAAGUGUAAUCUUGGGGCUUAACCCUGAGCGUGCUUUCGAUACGGGUUGACUUGAGGAAGGUAGGGGAGAAUGGAAUUCCUGGUGGAGCGGUGGAAUGCGCAGAUAUCAGGAGGAACACCAGUGGCGAAGGCGGUUCUCUGGGCCUUUCCCGACGCUGAGGAGCGAAAGCGUGGGGAGCGAACAGGCUUAGAUACCCUGGUAGUCCACGCUGUAAACGGUGGGUACUAGGUGUGGGGUCCAUUCCACGGGUUCCGUGCCGUAGCUAACGCUUUAAGUACCCCGCCUGGGGAGUACGGCCGCAAGGCUAAAACUCAAAGGAAUUGACGGGGCCCCGCACAAGCGGCGGAGCAUGCGGAUUAGUUCGAUGCAACGCGUAGAACCUUACCUGGGUUUGACAUGGAUCGGGAGUGCUCAGAGAUGGGUGUGCCUCUUUUGGGGUCGGUUCACAGGUGGUGCAUGGCUGUCGUCAGCUCGUGUCGUGAGAUGUUGGGUUAAGUCCCGCAACGAGCGCAACCCUUGUUCACUGUUGCCAGCACGUUAUGGUGGGGACUCAGUGGAGACCGCCGGGGUCAACUCGGAGGAAGGUGGGGAUGACGUCAAGUCAUCAUGCCCCUUAUGUCCAGGGCUUCACGCAUGCUACAAUGGCUGGUACAGAGAGUGGCGAGCCUGUGAGGGUGAGCGAAUCUCGGAAAGCCGGUCUCAGUUCGGAUUGGGGUCUGCAACUCGACCUCAUGAAGUCGGAGUCGCUAGUAAUCGCAGAUCAGCAACGCUGCGGUGAAUACGUUCCCGGGGCU